CUACGUGCCAGCAGCCGCGGUAAUACGUAGGGUGCGAGCGUUAAUCGGAAUUACUGGGCGUAAAGCGAGCGCAGACGGUUACUUAAGCAGGAUGUGAAAUCCCCGGGCUCAACCUGGGAACUGCGUUCUGAACUGGGUGACUAGAGUGUGUCAGAGGGAGGUAGAAUUCCACGUGUAGCAGUGAAAUGCGUAGAGAUGUGGAGGAAUACCGAUGGCGAAGGCAGCCUCCUGGGAUAACACUGACGUUCAUGCUCGAAAGCGUGGGUAGCAAACAGGAUUAGAUACCCUGGUAGUCCACGCCCUAAACGAUGUCAAUUAGCUGUUGGGCAACUUGAUUGCUUAGUAGCGAAGCUAACGCGUGAAAUCGACCGCCUGGGGGGUACGGUCGCAAGAUUAAAACUCAAAGGAAUUGACGGGGACCCGCACAAGCGGUGGAUGAUGUGGAUUAAUUCGAUGCAACGCGAAGAACCUUACCUGGUCUUGACAU
This 487-nucleotide ribosomal RNA is filed under the name uncultured bacterium. Its description in RNAcentral is "bacterial SSU rRNA". It matches the Rfam family "Bacterial small subunit ribosomal RNA", at positions 501 to 987 of the family's 1533-position model. The record is from RNAcentral.